AUCACCUUUAGAUGCGAUUUUGUGGAGUGUGAGGAGCUAAUCGCCUUCAUGCCUGUAUAUUCGUGUACUUGGGGUGUACUUAUUCGUGAGGUAAGUUAACAUCAAUUUUGGUGGUCAUAAAAUGACUGGAGGAAUGUAGCUUCGAUCUCGUAUUGAAGUGUUAUAGCCUUCGGUAGAUGUGAUGAUCGAGAUUGAGGAUUGCAACGGAUACCCUUCGGGGCUACCUGUCUGGUCUCUGAUCGUUGCUCUGGUGCCGAAAGCUUGCUUACGGUUAUCAAAGUCGAUGGUCAAUAGGUUAGAACGGGUUAAA
This 310-nucleotide ribosomal RNA is filed under the name uncultured Glomeromycotina. RNAcentral's name for it is "eukaryotic LSU rRNA". Lineage: Eukaryota; Fungi; Glomeromycota. The record is from RNAcentral.